CCGCAACUGAGGGCUGAGCAGGAAGAAAGGAAAAGCUGGAGAUGCAAGAGGAUGGAAGUUGAUGCUAAAGGAAUCACUUUUUCUUUUCUUCAUCAGAAAGAAACCAACCUCAUAUUAUCUGCUCAUUUCACUACCAGUUGCUCUGUGCCAGAAAGCAAUAUCCAUUAUUACUGGAAAGAAUUUUGAAUGAGUCACUCACAAAGAGAGAAAAUGGCCGUUGGAUUUGCCAAACUCCAGGCUGGCUCCUCCUACCUCCUUUACCCAAAAAACAAAAGCAGGGUUUUCAGGGGCCGUACGGGUGCAUUUUAUUACAGUGACUGCAAGUAAUCACUUCAGCUGGGAUCAAACCUUUGACCCUUGAAGUUGCAGGACUGUCAGCAAACUCAGACUUCUUCAAAACAGAUACUGUCCAUGUGUAAUUCCAGCAGUGGCUGCACCAUUCUGUACUAACAGAGACCAAUACACACAGACAGACAACCUCAUACAAACACUUAUGGUUAAGAUCAACAUA
Pleuronectes platessa (European plaice) is the source of this 511-nucleotide long non-coding RNA. RefSeq lists it as uncharacterized. The transcript has 3 exons. Lineage: Eukaryota; Metazoa; Chordata; Actinopteri; Pleuronectiformes; Pleuronectidae. The record is from RefSeq and is a predicted model, not a curated record.